CUUCAUAAAGUUUUGUACUAUUUUCAUAACCUUCAAAUUCACAUGUACACAAAGUUAUUCAAGGAUUCAUACAAAGUGCCAGCUAGUUAAACAUAAAGUUCUAUUAACAUCAAUAUGGCAAGAAAAAGCAUUCUCUUUUACAUAUAACAAUAAAGUUCUUCAGCAAUUUAUACAAAGAGACCGCUUUGUAGAAACAGAGUUCUUUGUAAAAAAGAUAAAGUCCUUCAUCAAUUUUCAGCAAAGGACGAUACGGACAUCCAAAAAGUUCUUGUACAAAUCUGCCCAAAAAAAUUCAAUCUAUGCUGAGAACUUGGAAAUAAAGCAUGUCUAUACAAAGGGAUUUCACGUGUCAGUGCAAACAAAAUAAACUGCAGCUUAUUUUAUCAGAGAGCUGAAAGGUAGCCUUAACGCAGACAAAACUUUGUCCAUCUUGUAUUCAAAUCCCAACAAACAAUCAGAGGGCCUAAAUUGUGCUAGCCUUUUUGUGGACACAAAUCGAUCAAGGUAGCCCAUGCAAGUUCAUCACAGAGAACAGAAGACCAAGAUUAAACAUGGUGGAUCCAUGUGCUACUAGAUCCAUCACGCAACAAUCAAUAUUACACUGCUGCAAAUAAAUCCUAAUCACCUUGAACUACAAAUCCAUUGGCAAGCAAGAAGAGGCAAUCCCAGCUCGUGAGCUUGAGGAGGAGGCACAAGACAGCCUGUUCGUCGCCGGAUCUGGUGCCAGGAGACGUCGGGAGGCUUGGUGAGUGCGGACUUCCCAGAUCCGCAACGAGCUGGGUGACGGCGAGCGAGCCGGGACACCGCGAGGCACGCCGUGGUAUGGAGGAGCUAAUCUGGUCGGAGGCCUCCAGAUCGGGAGGGCCGCCGGCUGUGGGGGAGGGGACGGGAGGAGGACCGGCUGGAUUCUCAGAGAUAAUGAGAGAGAGAGAGAGAAUGGAGGCGUCGGGCAGUAGCCUAGGUACAUAUUUGAUUUGUAUACCGGCCAGUGAAGGAGGAAUAUAUUUUCCAGACCUGGGUCCAGUGGGCCAGCCGGCUCGGAUCCGCACGUAGCUUGUGCGGUCGCGAUUGGCAUUGCGCGCGCAAAGGGUUAGGGCAUCUCCAGUCGCGCCCCCAGAACGGCCUCCCUAGGCGUUGUUUUUUGCGCCGGCGCCGAAAAAUCGGCCCAGUCGCGCCCCCAGGAGUCCGAUUUUCGCCGGCUUGGGCCGAAAACAGCGCCGGCGACCCAGGCCGAACCCAGCGCGCUGGGGGGCGCCCGAGGGCGCAGGGGCGAACUGUUUUGGCGCGAAACAGCCGCGGGCCCGCCGCGUCAGCGACUCUACCCUCUUCUCUCCCCUUCGUCGUCCUCAUCGCCUCGUUUCCCGCAGCGAAUCAAUGCCAAAGCUGCCGCGCUGCCGCGCCGGUCAGCCUGUGCCAUUGAUGCCUCACGGGCGGCGCAGUGAAGAGCGGAUGACGCGCGUCCCUCGCCCUCCCUCGCCCGCGACGCGUACUCACGGCAGCUCGCGCACGGGCGGCGCCUCGGCCUAUAUAAGACGCGCCCCAGCGCACUCGGCGACUCGCACUCUCUCGCCGUCGUCGUUCCUCCCUCUCCUCUAUCUCGUCGUCGCCAGUUCAUCACACCCAUGGCCGAGCGCUUCCCAGGCGACGGCGCGGCGGCGAACGGCUUCGGCCGCCGCCAUCUUCACGAGAACGAGGCUCGCCUCCUUUUCGAGCGAGUACCUGGUCCCGCCGAACAUGCGGGUGCCCGGGGCGUGGAGGAUCAGCGUCGGCGGCAUGCCGGUGCCCCCGAUACCCACCCCGGCGCGGCGCGGCAUGCGGAGAUCGCACGCAUACGCUCUUCCCUGCCGCGUGCGACGAGGGAGGGGCCACGGUACAUCCCCGACAGCACGCUCUGGGAGCCUUAUUUCCGCCGCCGUCACGCCGAGCAGCUCGAGGCCACCAACGGCGUCGAACCCUCCGGCAGGCUCAACGCCGUCGGCCGGCGUCGGUGGUGGGGCGUGCCCGGGCGCACGUUGGAGGUUGUCCUCGAGUACAUCGAGGGCGGCAACACGCCGCGCCUCGAGUACCCCGCUCCCCCGUCAUUCACACGCCGUCGGGGAAGCUCCUGGACCCCGAGACGCAUGGAGACCGGGGGGUCCUCCUCCUCGUCCGGCGGCUCCCCCUGCCUCCACCUCCGCCCUGUCAAGCUGGAGCCCCAGGGCGCGCCUGUCAGCGCGCGCACCCACAGCUCUGGCGUCCGCAUCGGCGACAACGCCUCCCCCACCGGCCGCUUCGUCCUCGUCGAGCCCAAGCCGGAGCCCGGCCUCCCUGCGGAGUACGAGGAGGUAGCCCGGCGUGGCUUCUCCGACGAGGAUGCCCUACGAUGGGCGCGGGACGACUACCUCCGCGACGAGAUGGCCCGGCAGCGCCGGGCCCUGGAGGAGAUCGCCGCCCGCAAGCGUGGGCGCGAGGAUGAGCACAGCGUCGUGGUCCUCGACAGCGACAAUGACGAUGUCGCCCCCGGACCGUCCAACACGCCGCGCCAACCGGGGGAGGGAUGCAGCAGGGACGGCGGAGGCAUCGGUGGGGGCGACGACGACGACGGCGGCGGCGCCGGUGACUUCACGCGGUUCUACCGCCUCCUCGGCAUGUAGAACCGCGUGGGCGGCGGCGAGGCGGGCGGCGAGGCGGGCGGCGAGGCGGGCGGCGAGGGAGACGGCGGGGGUAGCCCGCGGUAGUUUUUCCUUUUUUUGUAAAAUAUGUUUAAAUUUGAACGAACUCGAACGUGUUUGCGUUGUGUUUGCGCCGAAUUUAAACAUUUUAAAAACCCGUGGGGGGCCGCGACUGGGGGGCAUCACGUCCCCAGUGUGCGGUUUAGCGCCGGUGCGCCCCCAGGGGGCGAUUUUUUGCCCCUCCUGGGGGGCCAACGACUGGAGAUGCCCUUAGGGCAUCUCCAGCCGCGCCCCCAGGAAGGCCUCCCCAGGCGAUUUUUUCGCGCCGACGCCAAAAAACGGCCCAGUCGCGCCCCCAGGAUCCCGAUUUUCGCCGACCUGGGCCAAAAACAGCGCCGGCGGACCCAGGCCGAACCCGGCGCGCUGGGGGCCGCCCGGGGGCGCCGGGGCGAACUAUUUUGGCGCGAAACAGCCGCGGGCCUGCCGCGUCAGCGACACGGCGCCUCGUCUUCCCCCAACGGCCUCGAUUCCCGCAGGGAAUCAAUGCCAAGGAUGCCGCCCGUCAGCCUUGCCAUUGAUUCCUCACGAGCGGCGCGUCACGGGACGGCGCGCCGACGCCUCCCCUCCCUUGCACGCGUACACACGGGUGCGGCGCGGCUAUAUAGCCGGUGGCCUGCACUCGCUUGUGCCCACACCAGCCCCGCCCCUCGCCGCCGCCCAGCUCCUCCCUCUCCCUACCUCUCCCGAGCGCCGCCGCCCAGCCCCUCCCUCUAUCUCUCUACCUCUCCCAAGCCCGUCGCCAUGGCGGAACGCUACCCCGGAGACGAGGCGGCGGCCAACGGCUUCGGCCGCCGUUCGCUCCGCGAACAGGAGUCCUGGCUCCUGUUCCAGGCGAACAUCCCGGCGGCGCCGGACAUGCGCGCCGGGCCGACGGGGUGGAGGCUCAGCGCCGGGGGAGUGCCCAUUCCCCCAUUGCCCGACGCUGUGGCGAAGCCGACGUACUUCGCCGAGGAAGUCGAGGUCGUGCGCGCCUCCCUCACCGACGCCCAACUCUUCCUUCCCCAGUACGGCGCCGACAACCACGCGGCUUGGACGGCGUAUUUCGAGCGCCGCCAGCAGCAGCGCUUGGCAUCCAUCAACGGCGCGCCGGUGGUUGGCGGACGGCAGAACAGCGAGGGGCGCCACCUGUGGUGGGGCGUCCCCGACCGCACACUCGAGGGCGUGCUGACGUACCUCGAGGGAGGCAACGACCAGCCGUUGGCGUACCCGGCGAGGGCGGCCGCCCCGGCGCAGCACCGACGCGCCGGGCCAUGGGCGCCAAGGAGGUUCGGGUCCUCCUCCUCUUCUUCCUCCUCCCGAUCUUCAUCGCACUCCUCCGGCACUCCGGCCCUGCUCGGCGUCAAGGCCGAGCCCGCGGCGGAGACGCCGCUCGGCCGGCGCACUCGCAGCGCCGGCAUCGUCAUCAACGAGGGCGGCCGGCGCGCCUACUCGUCGGCUCCUCCUCCGCGCUUCGUCAAGCCAAAGACGGAGCCGGGGCUCGCGCCGGUGAAGAAGGAGCCGGCCGCGCCGGUGACGACGGAGCUCGACAACGACGACGCGGCCCUGGAAUGGGCGCGCAGGGACUCCAUAGCGAUGGAGAAGGAGCGCCUGGAGAAGGCAAAGGAGCGCCAGCGCGCCGCCCUGCUUCGCUUCGCGGAGCGUCGACGCGGCCGCGACGAAGGCGGAGUCGUCGUCAUCUGCGACAGCGGCGAUGACGACGACGAUGCGCCGCCACCCGUCCGCCAUGGCGACGCCGGGCAGGGGUCCAGCAGGGGCGCCCGCGUCAAGGAGGAGAAGGCCGACGACGACGAUGGCGGCGACGGCGGCGACUUCGGCCAGUUUUUCCUUUAGAUUAGUUUAUGUAUAUGUGCUAUGUAAUAAAAAUCCGCGAACUUCGCCGAAAUGUGCCGAAAUUUAUCGUGUUUGGCCAAAAUUUAUCGUGUUUGGCCGAAUUUUAUCGUGUUUAAGCCGAACUUCGCCGAACUUCUUUUAUUUUAAAACGUGCCUGGGGGCGGCCCUGGGGCCGGCGGCUGGGGACCAACUCGCCCCCAGGCCUAAUUUUUACGCUGGCUCACCCCCAGGCGGCGAUUUUAGGCGCCCCCUGGGGGGCGAACGGCUGGAGAUGCCCUUAUGAAUCACCUUAUUCGACUACAAACUGUAUACACAGAUAUGUGUUUUCAGCUUAAAAUGCCAUGCAGUCUAUUCAUCUUGUUUGCAAACCACAUACACCACUACUCUGCACUCUCUACUUUCUCUACCAAUAUGAACAAUCUAAGCAGUUAACUAAACCAACAAAAAACAUCCUAGACCAGUUUUGUAAAACUUCACACUAAUCUUAGAACUUCUUCCUGUUCAGCUUUUCUUCGUGAUGGCCGUUUCGCCGUGCAAGUGUGCGAAGAUGCCAACCAUGAGCGCGGUGUUGUACGUGCACGCCUCCGUUUGCAUGUAGUUGUCGCGCCUGUCCCUGAACCGGUCGAGGUGGUCCGGCCCGCCGACGAUGGCGCCGAUGACCACGUUUGGGUUCGCCCCCCUCCGGAGGAACCAGUUGUCGUACCCCUGCAUGCACCCGAUGAACCUGCCGUCGCCGCGGUGGGACACGAUGGACGCGCCACGGUGGUGCAUCCGCCGCGGGAACCGCUGGCCGUACCCGACCAAGUAGCUCACGCCGGCAGGGUUCGCGCCGAGGACGUAGUCGGUCUGCGCUCGUGCCAGGGACCGCAGCUCGUCGGCGUGUGCCGGCCCGUCGGGGCACUGCAGCACCGGCGGCUCCUGGCCCGCGGAGGUGAGGUAGCGGGAGUAGACCGUGAGGAGGAAGGCGGCGUUGGUGACGUACUGCAUGUUGUUCCACUGCCGGACGAAGAGCAUGCCGCCGGCGGUGCGGUUGACGUUGCCGGCGUCGCCGUUCUUGUUGAGGCAGGCGCAGAGGUAGUGCUCCGCCUUGGCCUUGUACUUCUCCAGCGUCGCCUUGUAUUCCGGGUGCUUCCCUUCCAGCAGCACCUAAAAUGACACGACAUGUUAAAAAACACAUUAUUUGUCCAGGGAUUUGGUUUUUUGAAGAAAUAUAUUUGAGGAAAACAUUUUCGAUCAUGCAUGCCAUACCACGGGCCCGAAGAAACAAUGGUGCAAUAUAAAAUUAGAGAAUAAAUAGUUAAUUUGUUGAGCAGUCAUGUACAGCUGAUGCUCACCUUGGUGGCGAGGAUCUGGAGGCCGGCGUACUUGACGUCCCAGCUGAACUCCGUGAUGGCCCAGGUGGUGCCGCCGAACUCGUCGGCCAUGUCCACGGCGUAGUCCAGGUAGCUCGCCUUCCCCGUCGCCCGGUGCAGCCACAGCGCCGCCCAAAGGAUCUCGUCGCCGUACCCGCUCACCGACGCGUAGUAGCUAUACGCCUCGCCGAUGCUACUGUCGUACUUUCCCCUGUAUUUGUCCCCGAACUCGAACAGCUGCAUAUGCAUUACACGUUAGUAAACAUGUUUCAUGCAUGUACAACAGAGCGACAACAAUGGCGUUGCAUAUGUCUACGCACCUGCUCGGCGUGGUGGAGGAGAACUUGUGCGUAGUGGGGGUUGGAGCGGCGGAACACCAUGGAGGCGGCGGCCAGCGCGGCGGCGGUCUCGCCGACGAGGUCUGAGCCAGGGUUGUCGCGGUCGACCUUGUAGGCCUGCCGCGACGUGGUCAUGUCCUCGGGCCGCUGCCAGCAGUAGUGGUCGGUGUCGCCGUCGCCAACCUCGGCCCAGAGCACGUACGGCUCGGUGUGCGCCUUGACGAAGUAGUCGGUGCCCCACUUAAUGGCCUCCAGCACGUGCCGCCACUCGCCGGCGGCAGUGAUGUCGUCCGCGAACUCCAUGGCGCUCCACGACAGCAUGGUGACCGUGAACGCCAUCGGCAGGCCGAACUUGACGUUGUCGCCGGCGUCAUAGUACCCGCCCACGAGGUCCACGCCCUGCUGUAGGCCGUCGGCGAGGCCAGAGUGGCCGCGCCACUUGACGCGCUGGUUGUGCGGCAGGCGGCCCGAUCGCUGUGCCUCGAAGUAGAGGAGGCUGCUGUGGAGCGCCUUCUUGUAGUCAAAUGGCGCCGCCACCUCGCCGCCGCCAGCCGUGGUGAACGGAAGGUGCACGAGUGCGAGNNNNNNNNNNGGGCGUUGUCCAAUCAACAUGCCCCACCAUGUUCUUAGCCAUGCAGUGUAUUCCCAGGACAUGUGAUAUACUGUUGUGUGUAUAUGAAGCCGUAUUGCAGCAAAUGUGGGGCCAUGGACGAUAGAUUCUCCUGACAACCAGACCCAUGGCCCAUGUCCUUCAGAUUCGUCACGAGGGAUGCGCUGCUCAUUAUCUAUGCAAGUCUAGAUACAAAUUCUGUAACAUUUGAAGAACUGACACGCAUAUGUUUAAUCUGGUCGGUAAUUCAUAAGUCACAAAAAAUGGUAGUAGUAACAUUCAUAAAAAUGCCACUUUCUAGCAGAGUCGACAAAGGGGCAAAAAAUCAGAAAAGUUCUACUGAACUUGUGAUAAAGUCCAUAAAUUGCCUUCAUAAAGUUUUGUACUAUUUUCAUAACCUUCAAAUUCACAUGUACACAAAGUUAUUCAAGGAUUCAUACAAACUACCAGCUAGUUAAACAUAAAGUUCUAUUAAUAUCAAUAUGGCAAGAAAAAGCAUUCUCUUUUACAUACAACAAUAAAGUUCUUCAGCAAUUUAUACAAAGAGACCGCUUUGUAGAAACAGAGUUCUUUGUAAAAAGAUAAAGUCCUUCAUCAAUUUUCAGCAAAGGACGAUCCGGACAUCCAAAAAGUUCUUGUACAAAUCUGCCCAAAAAAAUUCAAUCUAUGCUGAGAACUUGGAAAUAAAGCAUGUCUAUACAAAGGGAUUUCACCUGUCAGUGCAAACAAAAUAAACUGCAGCUUAUUUUAUCAGAGAGCUGAAAGGUAGCCUUAACACAGACAAAACUUUGUCCAGCUUGUAGUCAAAUCCCAACAAACAAUCAGAGGGCCUAAAUUGUGCUAGCCUUUUUGUGGACACAAAUCGAUCAAGGUAGCGCAUGCAAGUUCAUCACAGAGAACAGAAGACCAAGAUUAAACAUGGUGGAUCCAUGUGCUACUAGAUCCAUCACGCAACAAUCAAUAUUACACUGCUGCAAAUAAAUCCUAAUCACCUUAAACUACAGAUCCAUUGGCAAGCAAGAAGAGGCAAUCCCAGCUCGCGAGCUUGAGGAGGAGGCACAAGACAGCCUGUUCGUCGCCGGAUCUGGUGCCAGGAGACGUCGGGAGGCUUGGUGAGUGCGGACUUCCCAGAUCCGCAGCGAGCUGGGUGACGGCGAGCGAGCCGGGACACCGCGAGGCACGCCGUGGUAUGGAGGAGCUAAUCUGGCCGGAGGCCUCCAGAUCGGGAGGGCCGCCGGCUGUGGGGGAGGGGACGGGAGGAGGACCGGCUGGAUUCUCAGAGAUAAUGAGAGAGAGAGAGAGAAUGGAGGCGUCGGGCAG
This 8161-nucleotide long non-coding RNA is filed under the name Triticum aestivum (bread wheat). Its description in RNAcentral is "long non-coding RNA (TAES_LNC014257)". The record is from RNAcentral. Lineage: Eukaryota; Viridiplantae; Streptophyta; Magnoliopsida; Poales; Poaceae.